This 252-nucleotide ribosomal RNA is filed under the name uncultured bacterium. RNAcentral describes it as "partial 16S ribosomal RNA". It matches the Rfam family "Bacterial small subunit ribosomal RNA", at positions 524 to 776 of the family's 1533-position model. The record is from RNAcentral.
UACGUAGGGGGCGAGCGUUAUCCGGAUUUAUUGGGCGUAAAGCGUGUGUAGGCGGUUUGUUAAGUCUAAAAUCAAAGCCCGAGGCUCAACCUCGGUUCGUUUUAGAAACUGGCAGACUUGAGUGCAGUAGAGGCAAGUGGAAUUUCUAGUGUAGCGGUUAAAUGCGUAGAUAUUAGAAGGAACACCAGUGGCGAAGGCGGCUUGCUGGGCUGUAACUGACGCUGAGACACGAAAGCGUGGGGAGCAAAUAGG